UCCAGACUCCUACGGGAGGCAGCAGUGGGGGAUAUUGCACAAUGGGGGGAACCCUGAUGCAGCGACGCCGCGUGGGUGAAGGAGCGUUUCGGCGCGUAAAGCCCUAUCGGCAGGGAAGAAGGAGGACGGUACCUGACUAAGAAGCCCCGGUUAACUACGUGCCAGCAGCCGCGGUAAUACGUAGGGGGCAAGCGUUAUCCGGAUUUACUGGGUGUAAAGGGGGCGCAGACGGCAGCGCAAGCCAGGAGUGAAAGCCCGGGGCCCAACCCCGGGACUGCUCUUGGAACUGCGCGGCUGGAGUGCAGGAGGGGCAGGCGGAAUUCCUGGUGUAGCGGUGAAAUGCGUAGAUAUCAGGAGGAACACCGGUGGCGAAGGCGGCCUGCUGGACUGCGACUGACGUUGAGGCCCGAAAGCGUGGGGAGCAAACAGGAUUAGAUACCCCUGUAC
This 447-nucleotide ribosomal RNA is filed under the name uncultured bacterium. Its description in RNAcentral is "bacterial SSU rRNA". It matches the Rfam family "Bacterial small subunit ribosomal RNA", at positions 330 to 793 of the family's 1533-position model. The record is from RNAcentral.